This 247-nucleotide unclassified non-coding RNA is filed under the name Hevea brasiliensis (rubber tree). Lineage: Eukaryota; Viridiplantae; Streptophyta; Magnoliopsida; Malpighiales; Euphorbiaceae. The record is from RNAcentral.
AAUAUUUUUGUUCUACUAAGUAGUAGUGUUAAAACAAAAUUCUUUUUGGCCUCUUAUCCUAUAUUGCCCGCUUAUAGACCUUAGGACUGCUUUAUAACCUUAGCCUUCUAACUUAACACUUGGGUUUUUAGGUUGGGCUUCUAAUAUAGUAUCAAAUCCUAGUCUCUAUCCUUUGAGUUGUUUCUCACAGGCUUAUAUGGAGUGGGCUGUUAAAACAAAAAUAUUCUUAGCCACUUAUACCUCAUCA